RNAcentral lists this ribosomal RNA (261 nucleotides) under uncultured bacterium. Its description in RNAcentral is "partial 16S ribosomal RNA". It matches the Rfam family "Bacterial small subunit ribosomal RNA", at positions 793 to 1055 of the family's 1533-position model. The record is from RNAcentral.
GUCCUUGCCGUAACUAUGUAUACUUGGUGUUAUUGGGCUCAACCCUGAUAGUACCGUAGCUAACGCGAUAAGUAUACCGCCUGGGAGUACGCUCGCAAGGGUAAACUCAAAGAAUUGACGGGACCCGCACAAGCAGUGGAGCAUGUGGUUUAAUUCGAUGCAACGCGAAGAACCUUACCUGGGCUUGACAUGCAUGUGACCGGUACAGAAAAUGUACUUUUCUCGCAAGAGACAGAUGCACAGGUGCUGCAUGGCUGUCGU